RNAcentral lists this ribosomal RNA (253 nucleotides) under uncultured bacterium. RNAcentral describes it as "partial 16S ribosomal RNA". It matches the Rfam family "Bacterial small subunit ribosomal RNA", at positions 524 to 776 of the family's 1533-position model. The record is from RNAcentral.
GACGUAGGGUCCGAGCGUUGUCCGGAGUUACUGGGCGUAAAGGGCGCGUAGGCGGCUCUGUGCGUCACCCGUGAAAGCCCCCGGCUCAACCGGGGAGGGUCGGGUGAAACGGCGGAGCUGGAGGCAGCGAGAGGCUGGUGGAAUUCCCGGAGUAGUGGUGAAAUGCGUAGAGACCCGGAGGAACACCAGUGGCGAAGGCGGCUUCCUGGUCUGCGACUGACGCUGUGGCGCGAAAGCUAGGGGAGCGAACGGG